This 102-nucleotide microRNA precursor is filed under the name Haemonchus contortus (barber pole worm). Its description in RNAcentral is "microRNA hco-mir-5921 precursor". Lineage: Eukaryota; Metazoa; Nematoda; Chromadorea; Rhabditida; Trichostrongylidae. The record is from miRBase by way of RNAcentral.
AUUCCUCCUACUUGCAGACAUUCUGCAAUGAAAUCUAGUAGACCUAGGAGAGUAUGGCCUAUUAGUUUUCCUUGCCGAAAGUCUCCAUUGAUACGAAAUACU